CAAUAGCGUAUAUUAAAGUUGUUGCAGUUAAAAAGCUCGUAGUUGGAUUUCUGGUGGGAGCGAUCGGUCUGGCGCUUAGCGCGAGUACUUGCAUCGUCUCCGGCCAUCCUUGGGGAAAGUCUGUCUGGCAUUAAGUUGUCGGGCAGAGGAUCCUCAUCGUUUACUGUGAAAAAAUUAGAGUGUUCAAAGCAGGCUUAUGCCGUUGAAUAUAUUAGCAUGGAAUAAUAAGAUAGGACUUUGGUACUAUUUUGUUGGUUUGCGCACCAAAGUAAUGAUUAAUAGGGACAGUCGGGGGUAUUCGUAUUCCGUUGUCAGAGGUGAAAUUCUUGGAUUUACGGAAGACGAACUACUGCGAAAGCAUUUACCAAGGAUGUUUUCAUUAA
Molecule: ribosomal RNA, 383 nt
Filed under: uncultured eukaryote
Lineage: Eukaryota
Description: partial 18S ribosomal RNA
Rfam family: Eukaryotic small subunit ribosomal RNA
Source: RNAcentral